UAGUCAUAUGCUUGUCUCAAAGAUUAAGCCAUGCAUGUCUAAGUAUAAACUGCUUUAUACUGUGAAACUGCGAAUGGCUCAUUAAAUCAGUUAUAGUUUAUUUGAUGGUACUUACUUACUCGGAUACCCGUAGUAAUUCUAGAGCUAAUACGUGCGUACAUCCCGACUUCUGGAAGGGACGUAUUUAUUAGAUAAAAGGCCGACCGGGCUUGCCCGACUCGCGGUGACUCAUGAUAACUUCACGAAUCGCAUGGCCUUGCGCCGGCGAUGUUUCAUUCAAAUUUCUGCCCUAUCAACUUUUGAUGGUAGGAUAGAGGCCUACCAUGGUGGUAACGGGUGACGGAGAAUUAGGGUUCGAUUCCGGAGAGGGAGCCUGAGAAACGGCUACCACAUCCAAGGAAGGCAGCAGGCGCGCAAAUUACCCAAUCCUGAUACAGGGAGGUAGUGACAAUAAAUAACAAUACCGGGCCUUUGGUCUGGUAAUUGGAAUGAGUACAACCUAAACACCUUAACGAGGAUCGAUU
This 524-nucleotide ribosomal RNA is filed under the name uncultured eukaryote. RNAcentral's name for it is "SSU rRNA". It matches the Rfam family "Eukaryotic small subunit ribosomal RNA", at positions 21 to 549 of the family's 1831-position model. The record is from RNAcentral.